AGAGUUUGAUCCUGGCUCAGGACGAACGCUGGCGGCGUGCUUAACACAUGCAAGUCGAGGGCGUGGGGCAACUCACGACCGGCGAACGGGUGCGUAACACGUGAGCGACCUGCCUUCCCGCGGGGGAUAGCCGGCCCAACGGCCGGGUAAUACCGCAUACGCUCCUUGGGAUACCUGUCCCAGGGAGGAAACUUCCGGGGCGGGGAGAGGGGCUCGCGGCCUAUCAGCUAGUUGGCGGGGUAAUGGCCCACCAAGGCAGUGACGGGUAGCUGGUCUGAGAGGAUGGCCAGCCACAUUGGGACUGAGAGACGGCCCAGACUCCUACGGGAGGCAGCAGUGGGGAAUCUUGCGCAAUGGGAGCAAUCCUGACGCAGCGACGCCGCGUGGGGGAGGAAGGGCUUCGGCUCGUAAACCCCUGUUGCCCGGGGCGAACCUCUGGUUUCGACCAGACUGACGGUACCGGGUGAGGAAGCACCGGCUAACUCCGUGCCAGCAGCCGCGGUAAUACGGAGGGUGCGAGCGUUGUCCGGAAUCACUGGGCGUAAA
This 546-nucleotide ribosomal RNA is filed under the name uncultured bacterium. RNAcentral describes it as "bacterial SSU rRNA". It matches the Rfam family "Bacterial small subunit ribosomal RNA", at positions 8 to 564 of the family's 1533-position model. The record is from RNAcentral.